Molecule: long non-coding RNA, 8947 nt
Filed under: Sorghum bicolor (sorghum)
Lineage: Eukaryota; Viridiplantae; Streptophyta; Magnoliopsida; Poales; Poaceae
Description: long non-coding RNA (SBIC_LNC002720)
Source: RNAcentral
GACUCUCUGUUUUUCCCAACUUAUUUUUGUUUUAUUGGAGCUUCUCAAAAUCUUUUUUUCUUCCAUUCCAAAUAAUUCAAUAGAGUUACUUACCAUCAUUCUAUCCUUACUAUGUUCUCUGGCAAUUUUACUCAAACCUUUUCUCAUGGGGGAUUGAUCGUGGAACAAAAUCUGAAUUUUUUAGAUUUUGUAGAAGUUCUUUUGAUGAGGUCCAAAUAUUUUAUCCUGGUCCACUUUGUUUUCUUCGGUUCAGCUUUUGGAAUAAGCCCGAGUGCUCCCUACUGUCUCGUCUCGCUGCCAGAUGGCCAUGUGCUGUCAGCUUCUUAAUUUCCUUCUCAUCUAAAAUCGUAUUGUAAUUAAUGUCAAGUUUGAGUUACAUCCGGCUGCGUGGUCGUUUCUGUUUUGAUCUAUACGUGAGAUUAGUCUUUGGCAUUUUCUAUAAAAGGUGUAGCCUACAGUCAUAAUUGCAUCUAAAUCCCAGAAAGCUACGUAAGUCCAUGCCCUAGCCUCUGCCGCCGCAGUUGCCCAGCUAAGCGCCAUCAUCGCCGGCGAAGUUCAAUGGCUGGCCUCCACGUCCACGUUAGGGACAUGUUUGCCGUUGUCUUCUUUUGAGCUGGCCGAGAGCCCACCCCAUCGGCCAUCAUCGCGUGACGCAUUGGCCACUGACCUCAUCUAUCUGUCGUACGAGGACUCCGCUUGUGAAACCCGAUCUCACCACUCUGAGAUGGCAUUCGAGUCCUCCGUUUUCCCACAAACUCCGUCGAACUCUCCGGCGAGCUUUUCCGGCCAUGUUUCUCACCUUCGGGUGAAUUUCGAUUCCAUCCCGAGGUUCGUUUCGUCAUUCCCUACACCAGCACGUCUUUCGUUUUACGUCCGAUUUAAGUGGUUCAAGUUGCGUUAAAUUCGUAUCGAUGUGCUUUAUGCAAUAGUGCCAAUACUUUUCAUGUCACAUUCUUUUAUAUAAAUAGUUGAUUAUUAAAUUAAUUAAUAUGUGUAACUAAUUUUAUAAUUAAAAGCGACGUAGAGUUAUAGUUCCGUGUUUGUUGCUUUGCGAUCAAGGUGACUUAAGCGACAUAUUAGCAACAUUAUUUUCGAUGUCUAAUGUUUAUAAAUAUAAUUAAUUGGAUUAAUGUUUGUUUAAUGUCCUUUCUAAUUAAUUAAAAGUAAUUUAGGUUUAUGUUCGAUCUUUUUAUAAUUACUUGUUGACUUAAAUAUGUAUAUGUAUUUAUUAAAUUCUAGGUUUCCUAGUUGAAGCAUGAUUCAUAUAAAGUCAAUCUAGAUGUAAUAUAAUUAAUAUUUAUUUAAUAUCUUCAAUCAAAAGUGAUCCAGGUAUAUACGCUUGGACUUAAUAAAGAAUAUUAAUAUGAACAAUACCAACAUUAAUGCCCUUUGAAAUAUGAUCUGCUUAGAUAAACCUCAACACAUGAUGAUUCGAUUAGUUGCUCUCAUUUUCUUUAUGCUUCCUAUAUUAUAAAUGCUUAAAUGGCUUGAAUGAUAUAUAAUUACUUAUAAAUAAAAUAUAUUUGGUCAUGAAUUUGUUUAACUUGUUUAAUCCAUAAUAUGAUAAUAUUAUAGAUAAAUGUUGGUUAGUUUUAGCUCAGUUUCUAAACUAGGAUAUAAUUUGUGUAAUCUAAUUUAACAUGCUUUUUAUGGUUUUGCUAAAUCGAAAUAAAUCAAGGAUGUAGGUUUUUCUUUUAUAAAAUAGAAUAAUAAAAUAAUAUAGAACUCCCUAUAGUUGUUUUCUUUUUAACUGUAGACAUGUUGUAGACUUGUUCUCAGUGUUCUCGUGACCGUAGCAGCGAAUUCUCUUUUAGUAUGUUGCUUAACCUUGUCUGGUGUGUUGUUCUUAGUUGUUUCUAUUUGUUGCUUGUAUGUCUGUUGGUGUGCUUGGUUGCUGCGAUCUACGAGUAGACGAGAACCGCUUAUGAGUGCUCAAGAUCAUAUGGUGAUGACUAAAAGCUGAUGAUGUGAGAUUUAUGCAAGUAUUUAAGGCAAGUAUAACUUGGGAUCAUCCUUGUUACCUAUUCACUUAUAAAUACACAUAUAUAUCGUAUGCAUGCUUUCACCUUGUCGACCUUAGCAAAAUCAUAGAUGAUUGUUACCUGGAUUCCUUGCUACCUACUUGAUAUGCAUUUGGUGUAGUUGUGCUAGUGCUUGAUAUAAUCCAUGUUCUUGUAAGAUGAUUAAUAGCUGUGCAAUGAACAUAAAAGAAUGACAAAUAACUGUAUGAGAUCUUGUCUGUACGUGAUCACCCGGGAUAAUAGUGCAACCAUGAGAGCUAUAAUGGCUCUGGCUUUAGCUCAGUAUGAAGCCCUUUUCUAGCUUGUUAGAGGUUACCCGAAAGGGCAGAGGGGCUGAACCAUUUUGGGUAUAGUGCGAGCCCCUGUCCUUAUGUGUAUAGGCUACGCGUCAUUGUGCCAUUUGGAAGGGGGUAUCUAUAUCUGCGCACAAAGGAAACCUUGCGGCCCUAACAUGUUAGACGAACUUUUGAAAGGCUUCAUAGUGAUCCCUGCCGACCUCCCUGGGAAGGGGGUUAAGAGAUUAGCUACCUCGGGCGAAAGGGUAAAUCAUGACUCAUGGGUAAAGAUGUGCAACCUCUACAGAGUGUUAAAACUAGUAUACUAGCCAAGCUCAUAGUCACGAGCGGCCUUGGGGACAUCUACAUUAAGAUGAUGAGCUUAUUAUGUUAUUAUAAUCAUUUGAUUAUCGUUUAUGCUAUGGGUUAAUUAUGCUUACAAUUGAUCAUGUGAUUAAUAGAUUAUUAAUGCUACCUUGACAUUUGCUAUCUAAUGAGGAACAUGCUAUCCACUAUUAAAAGCUAAAUGCAGUCAAACCAGUGUCAGCUAUUUGAGCCUAAUGAACCCCUGGUUAUACUUGUUGAGUACGAUAUGUGCUCACUCUUGCUAUUUCCCACCACUCCAGUUUACUAGUAAGAGUUGAUGAGAAGAGCGAUGGAGUCAUAAAGGAUGUUCUCAGGAUACAAGAAGUGCUAGGCAUAUGUUACCCCAGUCAACCGUCCCUGUGAAGAUUGAGCCUAAAGAUUAGUUAUCAUUCCACGAUACUCUAAUGUAAGUGUCUAUUAUAUGUAUGUUUCUGCUAUAUAACAUUGUUUUCUGAUACUAUUCCUUUCUGUGGUUAUAUGUGUGGACUUCCUGGGCACACAUAUGGCUUGCUUGGUUUUGUUCUUUAAAACGGGGUGUGACAGAUUGGUAUCAGAGUAGUGUUGACUGUAGGAUGUAUGCCUAGGUAGUUCUGGUCGAUUAGAAAAGUCUAAUUUGCUAUUAAACUAUUUUAUUAUCCCUUGACUCUUUGACUUUGAUUAUUUCUCAAUCCUUGUCUCGUUGUAUCCCCUCCUUGCUAGCUUCCUUUGAGCUAUUACUGCUAACUCCUUUGUUUUUUUAUGUAAUGUUAUUAAAAGUUUUCUGAUCCUACCUCAUUCAAAAGUACGAUAGCCUUUCAUCAUCUCUCAUUUGCCCUUUAGGAUGACCACCAUUGUUGAAGAAAUACGUGUAGAAUCGAUGACGUGUUUUGUGCUUGUCUUAUUUGUGUGAUGCCUAUGUGUUGCCUCUGUUCUUGUAUUUCAAAGAAGAUCUAGAAGGAACCAUCCUGAGAAGUAGCUCAAUCUUGUUAAAGUGGGGUAGUGUACCCUCUUGCCCGGUCUAUCCUUUGGUCAACCUAAUUCUUGUCAUCCUUUCCUAUGCACCGUCCAAACCUACUCUUGGUUUUCCUGUCUUUUCUUUAUCUCAUCUCAAUGUGUUGUCUAAAUCAAAAAUCACCAUUGGAACCCUUGAAGAUAGUUUCAACAAGAUGAUGUUCAUACACAUGUUUAUGAAGAUAAGCAAACACUUUGUCAAGUGGGGUAGCGUUCGCUACCGUCAUCUAUCUCAAGUUGAUCUAACGAUCAAUCUUAUCCUUCUUGUAUAUCUUUCUUGUUUAGCAAACUCCAUCUUUUCUAUUAUCAAUCAUUAUCUUAUACUCUAUUUAGUUUUUGUCCCUUAUCAUUUACCUUGUAAUACGAAGACCAAAAGGUCAACUUCACCUUUCUGGUAUACUUUUCUUGUCAUCGAUCUUUGUGUUUCUUGUGACCCACCAGUAUUUUCUAUUUAACCCUUGUCAGUCUACAGGCAUCUUAUCAUCUCUCAUCAUAGAGCUCGAAAUAACUUUGAAGAACCAAUCUUCGUUCUCCUUAUCAACCUUUGCUAAUUUAUAAUCUUUUACCACAAAUCCCAUAAAUCUUUAAUCAAGGAAUUCUGAGCACUAUAAGAUGUAUUUUAUCUUUUAUAUUCUCUCCUCCUAAUCUUCACUCCUUGUCUUUAAAUCUCAUAAUGUGAAGACCCGUGAUCUCUCUUUUCUACCUAUGCUGAUCUUCAAUCCUUUGAUUUCAUGUUACAAUUCCCGAAUGAACCUUGAGAAUAAAUCUUUGACAUCUUUGUCAACCUUUGUUAAUUGUUGAUCCCUAAAUCAUAUGUCAUCAAAAGUCUCAAAACAAUCUUGGUGAUCUACUUUAUCUUUCUUCCUAGUCCCUUCGAACCUCGGGACAAGAUUCCUGUUAAGUGGGGUAGAUUGUCACACCCCAAAAUUUUUGAUUUUGGGUUGUACAUAGAAAGCACUAAUUAAAAUAGAUGUUUUGAUAUUUCGAUAAAAUUUCUAAAGUUAGUUUAAAAUAAUGUCAAUUAGUUAUAUGAAAUAUAUCAUUCUUUAAAUCUUUAUAAAUUUAAUUUGACGGAAUUUUUUUUUCAAUGUGAUGUUUGCUUGUGUUUUGUGUUUUUGAGGACGAUAUGCUUUAAAAACGUGUUUAGUACGUCGUUUAUUUUUCUCUAGCUUGACUCUGUCUAUUUUUCCCAACUUAUUUUUGUUUUAUUGGAGCUUCUCAAAAUCUUUUUUUCUUCCAUUCCAAAUAAUUCAAUAGAGUUACUUACCAUCAUUCUAUCCUUACUAUGUUCUCUGGCAAUUUUACUCAAACCUUUUCUCAUGGGGGAUUGAUCGUGGAACAAAAUCUGAAUUUUUAAGAUUUUGUAGAAGUUCUUUUGAUGAGGUCCAAAUAUUUUAUCCUGGUCCACUUUGUUUUCUUCGGUUCAGCUUUUGGAAUAAGCCCGAGUGCUCCCUACUGUCUCGUCUCGCUGCCAGAUGGCCAUGUGCUGUCAGCUUCUUAAUUUCCUUCUCAUCUAAAAUCGUAUUGUAAUUAAUGUCAAGUUCGAGUUACAUCCGGCUGCGUGAUCGUUUCUGUUUUGAUCUAUACGUGAGAUUAGUCCUUGGCAUUGUCUAUAAAAGGUGUAGCCUGCAGUCAUAAUUGCAUCUAAAUCCCAGAAAGCUACGUAAGUCCAUGCCCUAGCCUCUGCCGCCGCAGUUGCCCAGCUAAGCGCCAUCAUCGCCGGCGAAGGUCAAUGGCUGGCCUCCACGUCCACAUUAGGGACAUGUUUGCCGUUGUCUUCUUUUGGCUGGCCGAGAGGGGGCUGCUACAGUCCAAUUAUUCGGACCGAGAUGAUUCUCGCGCUGGUUUCCCGCUCACGCGUCAGCCCGAGUUGACAUGGAGUCUGCGCCAGUGGAGGUUCCCACUCUUCCUGUGCUUGUCCCUUACUGCAUAUAGAAAACUCCAAAAUAGAUGACAUCAGCACAUGCAAGGUGUUUGUUAAAGUAAAAAAAGUCGUAGCUGCUAAACCAAAUGUUGAAAUUGAAAUCCGAUUACACCAUCGUAUUCCUUGUAAUAAACUCUUCAAAACAAGACCCCACAUGAAUAUAUUUAGAAAACAUUUUAUGUACGGACAUUUAUCUCGUGGUCCAGACAAAUCUCAUGAGAACAUCGUAAAAGAACAUAACUGAACAUUGCAUAUAUACUAUAUGAACAUCAUAAAAUACAUCAUAGAACAUCAUUGUAUACGGCAAGAACAUAAAUGUUCUAGGUUCAUAAAAUAAAUGUUCCGUCUUCGUAAGAAAAAUGUUCUCAGUUUAAAAAAUAGUGUUCUAGUUUAGAUUCAUGAAACUGAUAUUAUAAUAUUUAAAAUAAAUAAAUAAAUACAUCAUGUAAACAAAAAAAAUAAAAUCUAGAGCAAAGCAUAAGGAAAAAAAACACGUAAUAGAGAAAAAUUUAAAAGAACAUCAUAUGGAUAGUUUUAAAACAUCCUAAGAAUAAACUAUAAAACAUCACAUGUGUACUAAACUGAACAUCACUAAAUACACUAUAGAACACUAUUAAAUACAUUAUGGAACAUCGUAUAUAUAUUACGUGAACAUCACUAGAUAUAUCAUAGAACACCACAUGUGUACUAAGCGAACAUCACUAAAUUCACAAUAGAACAUCACUCAACACAUUAUAGAACAUUGUAUGUAUACUAAGUAAACAUCGCUGAAUUAACCAUAAAACAACACUUAAUGUAUUAUAGAACAUCACAUAUGAUGCAAAAAAAAAAGAUUCAUAACAAAGAAAGAUUAAGAAAUAAAACAUAAAUAAAAGAAAACAUAAUAAAAAUUAAAAGAAAAAACAAAAUAAAAAAAUAGAACAUCAGCAUGUGAACAUCAAAGAAAAUAAUAACAAUAAGAAAAAAGAUAAAAUAUAAAAAAAAGGAUAAUAUAAAACAAAAAAUGAAAAUAAAAAUAAAGCACAAAAAAGAUAGAAAAAGAAUCAAAUGGAAUAUAAAAUGAAAAAAGAAAGAAAAAAGGAAAAAAAUUAAAGAAAAGAAACAAAGAAAGAUUAAAAAAUAAAAUAUGAAUAAAAUAAAACAUAAUUAAAAAAAUAAAAGGAAAAACAAAAUCAAAAGAAAAAAUAAAAAAUAGAACGUCAGCACGUAAAUAUCAAAGAAAAAUAAUAAGAAUAAGAAAAAAAGAUAAAGAUAAAGAUACAAAACAAAGAAUAAUAUAAAAUAAAAAAGUAAAAUAAAAAUAAAGCACAAAAAAGCUAAAAAAGAACCAAACGGAAUAUAAAAUGAAAAAAGAGAAAGAAAAAAGAAAAGAAAUUAAAGAAAAAAAUAUAGCAAGAAAAAGAAAAAGAAAAAGAAAAAAGAAAGAAAAAAAUAGAAGAAAACUAACAGCAACGGCGGGAGGGAAAAAGAAAAGAAACAUAAAAAGAAAUAAAAGAAGACGAAAAGAAAAAAAAAAGAAAAAAGAAAAAAGAAAGAAAUAAAAAAGAAAGCGUACCUACCUCACGCGCGCGCGGCAAACCUCGCGUGGACGACGUCUCCGGACGUUCGGACUGGAAGAUUUCCGGGCCGAGAGCCCACCCCAUCGGCCAUCAUCGCGUGAUGCAUUGGCCACUGAUCUUGAUCCGUAGGACUGCCUCGUCUAUCUGUCGUAGGAGGACUCCGCUCGUGAAACCUGAUCUCACCACUCUGAGAUGGCAUUCGAGUCCUCCGUUUUCCCACAAACUCCGUCAAACUCUCCGGCGAGCUUUUCCGGUCAUGUUUCUCACCUUCGGUGAAUUUUGAUUCCAUCCCGGGGUUCGUUUCGUCAUUCUCUUCACCAGCACGUCUUUCGUUUUACGUCCGAUUUAAGUGGUUCAAGUUGCGUUAAAUUCGUAUCGAUGUGCUUUAUGCAAUAGUGCCAAUACUUUUCAUGUCACAUUCUUUUAUAUAAAUAGUUGAUUAUUAAAUUAAUUAAUAUGUGUAACUAAUUUUAUAAUUAAAAGCGACGUAGAGUUAUAGUUCCGUGUUUGUUGCUUUGCGAUCAAGGUGACUUAAGCGACAUAUUAGCAACAUUAUUUUCGAUGUCUAAUUGAAAGAUGUGUUGUUGCAAAAAUUGGUAUCUCACACCAACAAUCUCGGGGGCUCUGAGAGGAAGUCCAGGAGCUGAAGUCCUAGACCUCCUGAACCUUGAGAAUAAAUCUUUGACAUCUUUGUCAACCUUUGUCAAUUGUUGAUCCCUAAAUCAUAUGUCAUCAAAAGUCUCAAAACAAUCUUGGUGAUCUAGUUUAUCUUUCUUCCUAGUCCCUUCGAAUCUCGGGACGAGAUUCCUGUUAAGUGGGGUAGAUUGUCACACCCCAAAAUUUUUGAUUUUGGGUUAUGCAUAGAAAGCACUAAUUAAAAUAGAUGUUUUGAUACUUCGAUAAAAUUUCUAAAGUUAGUUUAAAAUAAUGUCAAUUAGUUAUAUGAAAUAUAUCAUGAUGUUUGCUUGUGUUUUGUGUAUUUGUGGACGAUAUGCUUUAAAAACGUGUUUAGUACGUCGUUUAUUUUUCUCUAGAUUGACUCUCUGUUUUUCCCAACUUAUUUUUGUUUUAUUGGAGCUUCUCAAAAUCUUUUUUUCUUCCAUUCCAAAUAAUUCAAUAGAGUUACUUACCAUCAUUCUAUCCUUACUAUGUUCUCUGGCAAUUUUACUCAAACCUUUUCUCAUGGGGGAUUGAUCGUGGAACAAAAUCUGAAUUUUUUAGAUUUUGUAGAAGUUCUUUUGAUGAGGUCCAAAUAUUUUAUCCUGGUCCACUUUGUUUUCUUCGGUUCAGCUUUUGGAAUAAGCCCGAGUGCUCCCUACUGUCUCGUCUCGCUGCCAGAUGGCCAUGUGCUGUCAGCUUCUUAAUUUCCUUCUCAUCUAAAAUCGUAUUGUAAUUAAUGUCAAGUUUGAGUUACAUCCGGCUGCGUGGUCGUUUCUGUUUUGAUCUAUACGUGAGAUUAGUCUUUGGCAUUUUCUAUAAAAGGUGUAGCCUACAGUCAUAAUUGCAUCUAAAUCCCAGAAAGCUACGUAAGUCCAUGCCCUAGCCUCUGCCGCCGCAGUUGCCCAGCUAAGCGCCAUCAUCGCCGGCGAAGUUCAAUGGCUGGCCUCCACGUCCACGUUAGGGACAUGUUUGCCGUUGUCUUCUUUUGAGCUGGCCGAGAGCCCACCCCAUCGGCCAUCAUCGCGUGACGCAUUGGCCACUGACCUCAUCUAUCUGUCGUACGAGGACUCCGCUUGUGAAACCCGAUCUCACCACUCUGAGAUGGCAUUCGAGUCCUCCGUUUUCCCACAAACUCCGUCGAACUCUCCGGCG